GUGUCAGCAGCCGCGGUAAUACCGGCAGCCCGAGUGAUGGCCGAUCUUAUUGGGCCUAAGGCGUCCGUAGCUGGCCGCACAAGUCCAUCGGAAAAUCCACCCGCCCAACGGGUGGGCGUCCGGUGGAAACUGUGUGGCUUGGGACCGGAAGGCGCGACGGGUACGUCCGGGGUAGGAGUGAAAUCCCGUAAUCCUGGACGGACCGCCGAUGGCGAAAGCACGUCGCGAGGACGGAUCCGACAGUGAGGGACGAAAGCCAGGGUCUCGAACCGGAUUAGAAACCCCUGUAGUCC
Molecule: ribosomal RNA, 293 nt
Filed under: uncultured prokaryote
Description: partial 16S ribosomal RNA
Rfam family: Archaeal small subunit ribosomal RNA
Source: RNAcentral